Molecule: ribosomal RNA, 366 nt
Filed under: uncultured bacterium
Lineage: Bacteria
Description: bacterial SSU rRNA
Rfam family: Bacterial small subunit ribosomal RNA
Source: RNAcentral
CGCGGCCUAUCAGCUUGUUGGUGGGGUGAUGGCCUACCAAGGCGACGACGGGUAGCCGGCCUGAGAGGGUGUCCGGCCACACUGGGACUGAGAUACGGCCCAGACUCCUACGGGAGGCAGCAGUGGGGAAUAUUGCACAAUGGGCGCAAGCCUGAUGCAGCGACGCCGCGUGGGGGAUGACGGCCUUCGGGUUGUAAACCUCUUUCACCAUCGGCGAAGCCGGGAGCUUGUGUUUCCGGUGACGGUAGGUGGAGAAGAAGCACCGGCCAACUACGUGCCAGCAGCCGCGGUAAUACGUAGGGUGCGAGCGUUGUCCGGAAUUACUGGGCGUAAAGAGCUCGUAGGUGGUUUGUCGCGUUGUCCGUG